This 253-nucleotide ribosomal RNA is filed under the name uncultured bacterium. RNAcentral's name for it is "partial 16S ribosomal RNA". It matches the Rfam family "Bacterial small subunit ribosomal RNA", at positions 524 to 776 of the family's 1533-position model. The record is from RNAcentral.
UACGUAGGGUGCAAGCGUUAUCCGGAAUUAUUGGGCGUAAAGAGCUCGUAGGCGGUCUGUCGCGUCGGCUGUGAAAACCCGGGGCUCAACCCCGGGCCUGCAGUCGAUACGGGCAGACUAGAGUGCGGUAGGGGAGACUGGAAUUCCUGGUGUAGCGGUGAAAUGCGCAGAUAUCAGGAGGAACACCGGUGGCGAAGGCGGAUCUCUGGGCCGUAACUGACGCUGAGGAGCGAAAGCAUGGGGAGCGAACAGG